Molecule: long non-coding RNA, 203 nt
Organism: Thalassophryne amazonica
Lineage: Eukaryota; Metazoa; Chordata; Actinopteri; Batrachoidiformes; Batrachoididae
Exons: 3
Source: RefSeq, a predicted model, not a curated record
UCUGUAUGUCCUGUACACACAGCCGUAAUGUCCCACACAGCCUCUGAUAUGUGCAUCUGUGUUUUGCGGACAAAGCGUGACAAAUCGAUCAAAGUAAAGAUCAGGUGUCACACUAAAAUGUACUUUGUGCUCAGUGCAGAAUAGUGCAGAACUGUGGUCCAACUGUUACACUUGGAGACAUUUUUUUUUUUUUAGGAACAAAC